AUGAGCGAAAGGGCAUCAGAAGAGCGGCACGUUAAAAGAGCGAAGGCACUCAGUACUACCAUCCAACCAAAAUCUCCACCAAUCCCAGUAUCCACUUCUAGACCUAAACCCCCAUGUUUGUUUUGCAAAGAAGAAUCGCACGGCAUAGCUAAGUGUCCUGCUUUUGCAGCGAAAACUAGUGAUGACAAGAAAGUUUUCAUUCAGGAAAAUCAUCUCUGCUUUGGGUGUUUGAGAAGGGGUCAUGUAACCAAAGAAUGCAGAGGACGUCACUCCUGUAGUAAGUGUGGUCGGCGUCACCCCACCUGUCUACACACAGAAAGAGUGAAUGAACCUAAAGAAAGGAAAACUGAGGAUUCUAAAUCCCCAGAUGAAGGUGCAAACAAGGAAGUGCAUAAUGUUAUGACUCAUGUACUAAUAAGGAAAACAUCUUCCACAUCCAGCAUAGUACCAGUAUUUGUGUCAGUUGCAUCUGAGCCUGAGAAAGAAAUACUUACAUAUGCCCUGCUUGACACCCAGAGUGACUCAUCCUUUAUUUUAGAGGAUUUGGCAUUAGAACUAAAUGUAGACACCCAACCAGUGCAGUUAAAGCUUAGUACCAUGACUUCCGUCGACACAGUUGUUGCAAGUAAACUUGCCAACAACUUACAGGUGCAUGGGUUUGACUCUGAGACUCGUGUCCAAAUAGAACAAGCCUACUCUCGUGACUUUAUCCCAGUUGACAAGUCUCAUAUCCCUACCAAGGAAACUGCACUACAGUGGCCACACCUUGAAGGCUUAGCUGACAAGUUACAGCCAUUGCAGAACUGUAAAGUAGGUCUAUUGAUUGGUUAUGACUGCCCAUCAGCACUAGCCCCAGUAGAGAUCGUCACAGGCAAAAUAAACGAACCUUUCGCACAAAGAACCCUACUAGGAUGGAGUAUUAUUGGUUCUGGUAAUCCCCACCUAGACAGAGAAGGUAACCAGAGUUAUGUGCACAGGAUCACAGUCAAAGAAAUGCCCAUACCAUCAGCCACAGAUGUACUCAAAGUCCUAGAGACUGACUUUAAUGAGAGAAACUAUGAGGAUAAGUAUGUAUCACAGGAUGAUGUUUGCUUCAUACAAAUCCUCAGUGAUACAAUAAAACAAAGACCAGAUGUACACUAUGAGAUGCCGCUUCCCUUCAAGGGCAAUGAUCCGCCAACUCUUCCCAACAACAAGAAGCUAGCCACAGUCCGACUGCAACACCUGAAGAAAAGGCUAAAGGCUGAUAAACAGUAUUAUGAACAUUUAGGGCUGUGCGAUAUGACUAAAAUCUCAUAUCCCGAUAUUAAGACAUCUAUCGUCCGAUAA
Molecule: long non-coding RNA, 1329 nt
Filed under: Oreochromis niloticus (Nile tilapia)
Lineage: Eukaryota; Metazoa; Chordata; Actinopteri; Cichliformes; Cichlidae
Description: lncRNA (ENSONIG00000028920.1)
Source: RNAcentral